RNAcentral lists this ribosomal RNA (467 nucleotides) under uncultured bacterium. RNAcentral describes it as "partial 16S ribosomal RNA". It matches the Rfam family "Bacterial small subunit ribosomal RNA", at positions 28 to 507 of the family's 1533-position model. The record is from RNAcentral.
GAUGAACGCUGACAGAAUGCUUAACACAUGCAAGUCAACUUGAAUUUGGGUUCUUAACUUAGGUUUGGGUGGCGGACGGGUGAGUAACGCGUAAAGAACUUGCCUCACAGCUAGGGACAACAUUUGGAAACGAAUGCUAAUACCUAAUAUUAUGAUAAUAGGGCAUCCUAUAAUUAUGAAAGCUAUAAGCGCUGUGAGAGAGCUUUGCGUCCCAUUAGCUAGUUGGAGAGGUAACGGCUCACCAAGGCGAUGAUGGGUAGCCAGCCUGAGAGGGUGAUCGGCCACAAGGGGACUGAGACACGGCCCUUACUCCUACGGGAGGCAGCAGUGGGGAAUAUUGGACAAUGGACCGAGAGUCUGAUCCAGCAAUUCUGUGUGCACGAUGAAGUUUUUCGGAAUGUAAAGUGCUUUCAGUUGGGAAGAAACAAAUGACGGUACCAACAGAAGAAGUGACGGCUAAAUACGUG